Molecule: transfer RNA, 74 nt
Filed under: Tuber melanosporum (Perigord truffle)
Lineage: Eukaryota; Fungi; Ascomycota; Pezizomycetes; Pezizales; Tuberaceae
Also listed under: 1 other name
Description: tRNA-Ile (GAT) (tRNA-Ile-GAT-1-1)
Source: RNAcentral
GGUUUCGUGGUGUAGUUGGUUAUUAUGUCAGCCUGAUGCACUGGCGGUCUCCGGUUCGCCCCCGGCCAAAAUCA